AACGAACGCUGGCGGCAUGCCUAACACAUGCAAGUCGAACGAGACCUUCGGGUCUAGUGGCGCACGGGUGCGUAACGCGUGGGAACCUGCCCUUAGGUUCGGAAUAACUCCCCGAAAGGGGUGCUAAUACCGGAUAAUGUCUUCGGACCAAAGAUCUAUCGCCUUUGGAUGGGCCCGCGUUGGAUUCGCUAGUUGGUAGGGUAAAAGCCUACCAAGGCGACGAUCCAUAGCUGGUCUGAGAGGAUGAUCAGCCACACUGGGACUGAGACACGGCCCAGACUCCUACGGGAGGCAGCAGUAGGGAAUAUUGGACACGGGGCGAAGGCCUGAUCCAGCAAUGCCGCGUGAGUGAUGAAGGCCUUAGGGUUGUAAAGCUCUUUUACCCGAGAUGAUAAUGACGGUACCGGGAGAAUAAGCUCCGGCUAACUCCGUG
This 433-nucleotide ribosomal RNA is filed under the name uncultured bacterium. Its description in RNAcentral is "partial 16S ribosomal RNA". It matches the Rfam family "Bacterial small subunit ribosomal RNA", at positions 29 to 507 of the family's 1533-position model. The record is from RNAcentral.